GUGGGGAAUAUUGGACAAUGGGCGCAAGCCUGAUCCAGCCAUGCCGCGUGAGUGAUGAAGGCCCUAGGGUUGUAAAGCUCUUUCACCGGUGAAGAUAAUGACGGUAACCGGAGAAGAAGCCCCGGCUAACUUCGUGCCAGCAGCCGCGGUAAUACGAAGGGGGCUAGCGUUGUUCGGAAUUACUGGGCGUAAAGCGCACGUAGGCGGGUAUUUAAGUCAGGGGUGAAAUCCCGUAGCUCAACUCCGGAACUGCCUUUGAUACUGAGUACCUAGAGUAUGGAAGAGGUAAGUGGAAUUCCGAGUGUAGAGGUGAAAUUCGUAGAUAUUCGGAGGAACACCAGUGGCGAAGGCGGCUUACUGGUCCAUUACUGACGCUGAGGUGCGAAAGCGUGGGGAGCAAACAGGAUUAGAACCCGGGUAGUCC
Molecule: ribosomal RNA, 424 nt
Filed under: uncultured bacterium
Lineage: Bacteria
Description: partial 16S ribosomal RNA
Rfam family: Bacterial small subunit ribosomal RNA
Source: RNAcentral